RNAcentral lists this ribosomal RNA (497 nucleotides) under uncultured bacterium. RNAcentral's name for it is "partial 16S ribosomal RNA". It matches the Rfam family "Bacterial small subunit ribosomal RNA", at positions 28 to 507 of the family's 1533-position model. The record is from RNAcentral.
GAUGAACGCUGGCGGCGUGCCUAAUACAUGCAAGUCGAGCGAACAGACGAGGAGCUUGCUCCUCUGACGUUAACGGCGGACGGGUGAGUAACACGUGGAUAACCUACCUAUAAGACUGGGAUAACUUCGUGAAACCGGAGCUAAUACCGGAUAAUAUAUUGAACCGCAUGGUUCAAUAGUGAAAGACGGUUUUGCUGUCACUUAUAGAUGGAUCCGCGCCGCAUUAGCUAGUUGGUAAGGUAACGGCUUACCAAGGCAACGAUGCGUAGCCGACCUGAGAGGGUGAUCGGCCACACUGGAACUGAGACACGGUCCAGACUCCUACGGGAGGCAGCAGUAGGGAAGCGUCCGCAAUGGGCGAAAGCCUGACGGAGCAACGCCGCGUGAGUGAUGAAGGUCUUCGGAUCGUAAAACUCUGUUAUUAGGGAAGAACAAAUGUGGAAGUAACUAUGCACGUCUUGACGGUACCUAAUCAGAAAGCCACGGCUAACUACGUG